Molecule: long non-coding RNA, 485 nt
Filed under: Cricetulus griseus (Chinese hamster)
Lineage: Eukaryota; Metazoa; Chordata; Mammalia; Rodentia; Cricetidae
Description: lncRNA (ENSCGRG00015013098.2)
Source: RNAcentral
CCUGUUUAGGUCUGUGUAGAAACCCAAAGGCUGGCCGGCCUCAUAAAUCCUCUAGACAUUACUGGUGUGGACACUCUGGCUGGAUGCCAUGGGAACGCUGCACAGAAAUAGAAAGGAGAGAAACACAUCGACGCUCUGGAUGUCGGGUGGGCUUCAGGCUCCGUUUGCCCAUCCUAGAUGCGGGGGUGGAGGGAGGCACUCAAGUGACUCUACUGGAUCACAUUAUGCUAAUCGUCUUUCGUCUGUGAGAACAGUGUCUAGCCAACGUGGAGGAAUGGCUGGACAUGAUCCAUGGAGGGCCACCCAGCAGUUUGGAUGAAGAGUCUGGAUUAGAAACUUGGAAUUUUCAUGUCAUCCUCCCAAACUCUGCAAACCUGGUCCACGAAACCAAAGUUUUCUAAGACUUUGAAGCCCAAAGUGUUGGGGAUGGAAUCCAGGGCCUCCCACAUCCUAGGCAAGCAUUCUACCACUGAGCUGUACUCCCA